GACGAACGCUGGCGGCGUGCUUAACACAUGCAAGUCGAACGGCAAGGCCCUGCUUUUGUUGGGUGCUCGAGUGGCGAACGGGUGUGUAACACGUGAGUAACCUGCCCUUGACUUUGUGAUAACUUCAGGAAACUGGUGCUAAUACCGGAUAGGAGCUCCUGCUGCAUGGUGGGGGUUGGAAAGUUUCGGCGGUUGGGGAUGGACUCGCGGCUUAUCAGCUUGUUGGUGGGGUAGUGGCUUACCAAGGCUUUGACGGGUAGCCGGCCUGAGAGGGUGACCGGCCACAUUGGGACUGAGAUACGGCCCAGACUGCUACGGGAGGCAGCAGUGGGGAAUAUUGCACAAUGGGCGGAAGCCUGAUGCAGCAACGCCGCGUGCGGGAUGACGGCCUUCGGGUUGUAGACCGCUUUCGCCUGUGACGAAGCGUGAGUGACGGUAAUGGGUAAAGAAGCAACGGCUAACUACGUG
Molecule: ribosomal RNA, 468 nt
Filed under: uncultured bacterium
Lineage: Bacteria
Description: partial 16S ribosomal RNA
Rfam family: Bacterial small subunit ribosomal RNA
Source: RNAcentral